Molecule: long non-coding RNA, 370 nt
Organism: Thrips palmi
Lineage: Eukaryota; Metazoa; Arthropoda; Insecta; Thysanoptera; Thripidae
Exons: 3
Source: RefSeq, a predicted model, not a curated record
CCCGUGGUCCGGCUGACCCAUUCGCUCACCUGUGUUUGGACACUGUACACCUUCCUGUGCAAUGGCCCCCUCGUUGGACGAGAUCGUCUCCGCCAUCCUCGUGUGUCUGGAAGUCACUCCCUGCCUGGUGCCGGCCUGGGGCCCACGCUUCCAUCAGGACUCCGUCCUUGGGCGCUGGGGCAUUAUUAUGCCUCGUUGAAUGUUACCGGCAAGCCCCAUCCAAUGAUCUUGCUCCUGAACGGCGAUGCCGACUGGACAUCGUCCCUAAUGUUCUAGCUGAUCUCCAAUUUCGGCCUGCUUAGUACCCUGACCGUCGACGACGUCCUAUUCAACUGGAGCACGGGCCGUAUCGCCGAACUUCGAGUGGACU